Molecule: ribosomal RNA, 445 nt
Filed under: Madascincus melanopleura
Lineage: Eukaryota; Metazoa; Chordata; Lepidosauria; Squamata; Scincidae
Description: partial 16S ribosomal RNA
Rfam family: Bacterial large subunit ribosomal RNA
Source: RNAcentral
UCAUUUGUCUUCUAAAUANNGACCAGUAUGAACGGCUAAAUGAGGACAGGCCUGUCUCUUACGACUAAUCAGUGAAACUGAUCUCCCAGUACAAAAGCUGGGAUAAAAACACCAGACGAGAAGACCCCGUGGAGCUUCAAACCAGCAGUUAAAAAGCACCCCCACACGACACCUAACAACGCGGUUUUAAGUUGGGGCGACUUCGGAACAAAACAAAACUUCCAAGCACAGAACCACAAGUUCUGACAGAGGCCCACUGGCCAAAGUCAAAACAAUACCAGACCCAGUACCACUGAUCAACGAACCAAGUUACCCCGGGGAUAACAGCGCCAUCUUCUUCGAGAGUCCAUAUCGACAAGAAGGUUUACGACCUCGAUGUUGGAUCAGGACACCCAAAUGGUGAAGCCGCUAUUAAAGGUUCGUUUGUUCAACGAUUAAUAGUCCU